GUAGAUGACUACAUUCCACUUCUUAUGUUCGCCUUAGGCUUCAUAAACCCUGGGAAUGACGCAGAGCCGAUUUAGGGUGCCUAUUGCCCACCAGAACGAUGUCAGCGUUGCUUACAGCCACUGACAUCACACUCCGGGCAUAACGUUGAGUGAGGCACCGCCCCUGUUGUCCUAGACCUGAUUGCUUUUUUAUACACUUGCCACCGCGGCAAGUGUUUUUUU
Non-coding RNA from Hammondia hammondi, 222 nucleotides. NCBI's taxonomy places the organism in Eukaryota, Apicomplexa, Conoidasida, Eucoccidiorida, Sarcocystidae. The record is from Rfam.